ACAGGUGGCUUCUGAUUCCAGAGCCUGGCAGGACCUGCUGGAAGACUGGGUACAUCAAAACUGCCAAAGUCUCAAGGUCCAGCCAAAGGGCAAGGAGAUGGUGACUUCACCAGCAGGGAGUGGUGACUUCAGAGAAGAAGCAGGACAAUGCACACCAAGGAACUUUGAGAUAUGCUGAGACUGCUGCAAGCCAGGUAGGUCUUGCCUCCCUGUAAGCAGAACCAUGGAUGGUGGAAAGUCCCAAGAAUAUGCACCCUGUAAAAGCAUAGGAAUCAGGUGGGGAAAUAGUUUAUUCUAAUCUAUUUAUCCUCUUCUGUCUCACUUUUAGAGAGAAUAUUUCUUAGAAUAUUUUUAGGGGUAAGAAGUGGAGGAAUUAAUCUAGUGUUUGGGUUUAAAAACCUUAUAAGGUUUUUUGGUGUGCUUAGGUUAAGAGCCUGUUUAAUGCCUCAGUAUUGGUCAUUCAGCAUCAUUCUCUGCUUAAUGCCUCAACCUUUGACAUCACUUCUGUAGUCUCUUGCAUCACUAGAAUUUUUAAAUUUCUGGCAUUGCAUGUGGUAAUAUUACCAAAGUCAUAUUAGAGAAAAUUGCAAAAACCUGUAUGAGCCUCAGCUGGCAGACAGCAGUCAUCUAGAGAGAGAGUGCUAAGAACAGCUGUGUCAAGGAAAUACAGAGUGCAGAUAAAGCAAGCUUCUGGGCAGGUUGUGGGGAGUCUUGGAUGUCCUUUCCCCUCUAGCGCAGCACUAUGGUAUGUUUGCAGGAGCACAGGGAGCAGCCAUGUUUGCAAUAUGCUCCCUGGCAUGCUUCCUUGGAGGGAUCCUUCGUGGUCACAACAGACUGUGCUGACUGCUGAAGGCUAGAACUGAGCACAUGGGCUUGUUCUUCAGUACUUGGGACCCAGGCCACCCCUUAGGCAGGGCAGGGGUCUGAGGCAUUAGGAUUUUGCCACUUCAUUAUUUACCAUUAUUUAUCAUUAUUUACCAUUGGAUAGCCAUCUCUUGAAGAAUAUGGUUUGCAAUUGGUAACCUUAUAUUAGAAUGAAAAAAAAAAAAUCCCCACAUGAAGGAGAAGGAAAAAAAAGCAACAGAAUUCAAGAUUGCUCCUUGCAUUUGGGAGCUGCUGUCGCUUGCAUGAGGUUUGUUCCCUCCCCUUCAGCCCUGCUUCCAUUUUCUAAUUUCUUUUAGUUAACAUUUGUUUUCUCUCCCAGCUGCAGUUCUCUCCCCUUAAGCCUGUACUGAGCCGUGGGCCAGGUGUGUAUUGUUCACUGCACCAUGAGGACCUUGCUAGCUGUACAUCUUCAUGCAGCUUUGUACAGAUGAUUGCAGAAUUUGUAGAUCCUUUUCCCCAUCCCUCAUAGCUGUUCAUGAGGUUUUGACUUCUUCAGCAAUCCUUGCUGCCAUGGUUUUCCUUUCAGUGGUUUGGAUGCUGAGGCUAGCCUUAGUGCCAGUGCCAUAUUGUUUGUUUUCAGCAGCACUGCUGGAGUAUUUAACUUUUUUCUGAGACAGAUCUACUCUCCUGAGUUGGUAAUCUGUAGCGUAUGAAGCCUGCCUCCAACUCUCUUCGGAGAGCUGUGGGGUUCUGUGGGUACUGGACUGCUGCUCCUGUAUCAGCUUCAUUGCUGGCUUCCCUUCUGUGACCGUGAAGAAGUCAUUCUGGAUGCAGUUUUCAAAAGCACUGAUGAAAACAUAAGUAAUUAUAUGCUUGCUUGGUGCUGAUGUCUGAAGGCUUUAAUCACCUCUUUAAAGCCAGCUGCAGUAAGAAACCAGGUAGCACUCAGUGAAUUUGGCUGAAUUUGGAGAAGAUGUUUAAGGUCAUGAGAGCCCCAAGCUCAGAAUGGAAAUCUGGGGGUGCCAGAUCCCUCCAGGAGCUUCAGAUGAGGUUGGACAGCUUCUGCAAGGAGUCCGCUUUUAUGGCAGGAGAAGGUUUGUGUGUCUGCAAGGGAGGGCUGGAAAGCUGGUUUGGGCAGCGUGGAUGCGGGCAGCAGAGUUUCUGCCAAGUUCAAAGCUUCUUUAUCCAGUUGUGAGCUGAGUGUUGCUCCUUGCAUUAUUAUGCCUAUUAGUGUUAAUGUUUUACUUGAACACGUGCCAGAUUUCAUGAGCCAUCGGUAUUUUGAGAGAAGAGUAGCUAUUUUUGGAAGGGGUCUGAUGUUUCUGUGACUCCCUCUUCUGCAUCUGUCCGGUGAUUCAGAAGUAAAUUCAACCACUUGGAGUAUAACCCUCCAUACUUCUCAUAUACGUGCAUCAUUUAAUGUAUUAAAUUUAUUUCUCAUGCUAUAUUUAUUUUAAAAUUUCAUUCAGUAACAUGUCUCUGUGUGCAUUUAAAGGGAGCCACAAAUCUUUAUGAGACAAUUUUAAUGCUACCCACCUACUUUUCUGGGGGGAUUGGUAUGAGAGUAGGUACUUAAAAAGCUGUGAUUGUGUCAAACUGGGCUUAUAUUUCCCAAUUAUUCAUACCUAGAAGUGUUAUCAGCCAACACAGAGUGUUACCAGCAUCAUUUUAAAUUCUCUUCACCUUCUUCAGUCUGGGUUUUAUUUGAAAAGCAGACAUGCAGUCCCCAGUGAGAAUUAAAGUAGAAGCAUUAGCUUGCAAAAUAUAUGCCAAUGACCUAAUGAUUCUGACAUUUCCACAAUACAAGCUUUAGAAGAAGGCAUGCAGACUGCAAAGUCUGUUUUUCUAUCUCAUAUUUUUUUUAAUGGCUAAAUGUUUGUAGGAAACAAAAUGGAUUUAUUCUGCUCAAUCCAGGGUAUAAUAUCAGGACUUAUCCGGUUCCGGGCCCCAGGGCUUCAGACAACUAACAAAACACAUCUUACUUCUGCUCUGCUAGCUCUCUGUUAUGCUUUUCACAUGCAGGAAGAAAGAGUAAAAGCAUAACCCAGUUGAAUAAAGCAGCAUGGCCUGCUGUUCUUUGCUUAUGAAGCAUCACAUGAUAGACAUCAAUUUAAGAAGAACCCCCCACCUGUGGUUGAGUAUACAUGAAGCCGUCAAGCCAUUUUGUGCAGUAUGAAGGGAAUUUUACCAUCCCCAUCACUGCCAUAGUGCAGGAAUAUGUUUAAAAUGUUAAUGUCUUACCAAACGAUGCUUCAUUAUUUUUGAAUAAUCAAGUGAUUUUACGCCAUUUAAAUAAAAUCAAAGAUGCUGCUUCCCCAUCUAUUUUGAAGUGCUCCAGCCUUUCAAAUCUUCUCCUCUGAUAGAUGGAAAGAAAGCUAAUCUGAGCUUCUCCCUGUAGAUUUUAAGUUGCAAUUUGCUUUUUGGCUCUUCAGACACUGUUUAUGUAAGGAUGUAUUGGGAUAGGGCUGUCUGCCAUGAUAUGGAAAAAAAAUAAUAUUUUUCUAAUAAAAAUAAGAUGCUAUUUAAGCAAGAAGUCAAAGGAAAUCUAUCCUCUCCUUUGACCUUUCAGACUGUGGUAAGCAUAGAACAUGUAGGGUCAAUUUUACGACACAGUCAUGUUAAAUGAAGUGUAUGUGAUUUAUUUUGGUUGCAAUUUCAAAGGUUUUGAUCAUGAGAGGUAGAAGGAAAGAUUCAUUUGAAUGUGUUCUUGUUGUCUUUUGUGCCAUACCUUUAUGGAAAAACUAUGUCAUGCUUAAGACACACCAUGUCCAAGAACAUUCUCUUAACCAUGGGAUUUUCUUGUUCAUUUUUUUCAUGUACUUCAAAUCUUUCCUCUCAUUAUCCUGAGAAGUUACAAGAAGAGCUGAUGGCAAUAUGGAAGUCUGAAAAUGUUUGGCAUUUGAUUGGACCAUAGACCGGUGAUUUUAUCCUUAUCUUUUUCCUUCCUUUCCCUCUUCUGUAUGCUGUAUGUAGGUGAUGAGUGAGCUGCGGCGAUUUCUCCUACCUACAAAUAUUUGGGGUGCAAAAUGACAUAAAUUUCCGAAGUGGUCUGCGUACGUUAGGAUCUUGUAAAUUUGAAUCAUUUCCUUGUGAUAUAGUUUACAGCAAAUAAACAGUAAAGGAAUCACUAGAAAUUCAUGAGACAAAGCUAAACGCAAUUGCUGUUGCUGACUGUAAUAGAAAUAUUUCAAAUAUCUGGCUAUAGACCAAGAAGUGGCUGGUCACUAUGUUUGAAAACCAAGUCCCUGUAAAAAAGUGUAAGAACCAUUUGGAGAUGGUUGAUUCCUUUUCUGCUAUUUUUUUCCUUGCAGUUGCACUUUGUGAACACAGAGGAAAAACACAGCGGGUGUGACCACUACCAUGCAGUGCCUUGCUUUCAUUUUCACCAUGUGCUUCAAUUUUCUGCAGAGGUGAAGCCUGCUGAAGCCUUCUGCCUUUGAAGAACUACUUAAGAUGAAAUGAUUCUGAAGUGCAUUAAAGGGCAUUUACUU
This is a long non-coding RNA of Numida meleagris (helmeted guineafowl), 4316 nucleotides long. RefSeq lists it as uncharacterized. The transcript is spliced from 3 exons. Lineage: Eukaryota; Metazoa; Chordata; Aves; Galliformes; Numididae. The record is from RefSeq and is a predicted model, not a curated record.